GGGGUUAUAGAUCAGUGGCAGAGUGCAUGCUUAAUAUGCACAAGGUCCUGUGUUCAAUCCCCAGUACCUCCA
This 72-nucleotide transfer RNA is filed under the name Camelus bactrianus (Bactrian camel). It matches the Rfam family "tRNA". Rfam says of the family: Transfer RNA (tRNA) molecules are approximately 80 nucleotides in length. Their secondary structure includes four short double-helical elements and three loops (D, anti-codon, and T loops). RNAcentral also lists the same sequence under 2 other names. The record is from Rfam by way of RNAcentral. Lineage: Eukaryota; Metazoa; Chordata; Mammalia; Artiodactyla; Camelidae.